AUUGAACGCUGGCGGCAGGCUUAACACAUGCAAGUCGAGCGGGGUGAUGGUGCUUGCACUAUCACUUAGCGGCGGACGGGUGAGUAAUGCUUAGGAAUCUGCCUAUUAGUGGGGUACAACAUCUCGAAAGGGAUGCUAAUACCGCAUACGUCCUACGGGAGAAAGCAGGGGAUCACUUGUGACCUUGCGCUAAUAGAUGAGCCUAGGUCGGAGUAGCUAGUUGGUGGGGUAAAGGCCUACCAAGGCGACGAUCUGUAGCGGGUCUGAGAGGAUGAUCAGCCACACUGGGCAUGCGACACGGCCCAGACUCCUACGGGAGGAAGCAGUGGGGAAUAUUGGGCAAUGGGGGGAACCCUGAUCCAGCCAUGCCGCGUGUGUGAAGAAGGCCUUAUGGUUGUAAAGCACUUUAAGCGAGGAGGAGGCUCUUUUGGUUAAUACCCAAGAUGAGUGGACGUUACUCGCAGAAUAAGCACCGGCUAACUCUGUGCCAGCCGCCGCGGUAA
RNAcentral lists this ribosomal RNA (503 nucleotides) under uncultured bacterium. RNAcentral describes it as "partial 16S ribosomal RNA". It matches the Rfam family "Bacterial small subunit ribosomal RNA", at positions 30 to 523 of the family's 1533-position model. The record is from RNAcentral.